GGCAGGUGGAAGAGAGUUACAGAGCAGCAACAAUGUUGGAACAGGAGCCAGAAGGUUCAGGAGCCAGAUGUUCAUCUCGUACUCCGAAAGUAAACCAGAAUUCCCCAUUCCCUCUGCUGCCCCCGCUGGAGGCAGGGGAAGGGACUAUAAAACCAGGAAAUGGUGUGCCUCAAUCAGUCUCUGCAAGUGGUGUGCCUCAAUAAGUCUCUGCACGUGGUGUGCCUCAAUCAGAGCUUUGAACGACACUGACAAAUGUCUACAGCAUUCACACAUCACCCAUCUUCUCCAGCAAUGCAAUUUGCUAACAAUCCUUCAGAUUGGAUUGAAAGCAAGUUUAGAUUCCAGAGACAAUUCAGAGUAAAUAUUUGCCCUCUUCUGCUUGUGCAGAGUGAGGAUAUCGACUGGCCAAAUAAAAAAAAUGUGCUCUGGAAGAGCCUUACAGACAUUUGGGACAGUCUGUUGCAGUGGUUGUGAGGCAAUACUCACUGCAACUUUCCACUUAGCGAGCAGCUGAGGACCAGAGGAAUGAAGAGGAGGCAGAGGAGUGAAGAGGAGUGAAGAGGUGGAUGUGACGGGAAGGAAGAGGCAACUUCAUAGAUAGCCCUCAUCAUGCAUCAUCCUCAUGCAUCUCCACUUCUUCAUGGAGCACAAGUCCCAAACCUUGUUGUUCCUAUCUCAUUGACAAGCACGGCAUUCGUGUAUCUGUCAUAUCCUUGCCUGGAUCUGAAUGGAAUAAACACGCUUCAAGGACACUGAACAUAAAUGCUUUGUUUUAUUCGUCCGCCAUUCCUUUGCAUCCCA
Long non-coding RNA from Leucoraja erinaceus (little skate), 801 nucleotides. RefSeq lists it as uncharacterized. The transcript is spliced from 3 exons. NCBI's taxonomy places the organism in Eukaryota, Metazoa, Chordata, Chondrichthyes, Rajiformes, Rajidae. The record is from RefSeq and is a predicted model, not a curated record.